AGACAAUAGAUACCCAGGUAGUCCUGGCCCUCAACGUUGCUCGCUCGUUUUACGGAGUAUCGACCCUCUGUGAGACUAAAGCUAACGCGGUAAGCGAGCCGCCUGGGUAGUACGAUCGCAAGAUUAAAACUCAAAGGAAUAGACGGGGACUCGCACAAGCAGUGGAUUAUGCGGCUUAAUUCGUCGGUAAACGAAGAACCUUACCAAGGUUAGAAACCCAACUGCAUCCGACCUGAAAGGGACGGAGCCUUCGAGGGUGUUGGGCAGGUGAUGCAUGGUCGUCGUCAGUUCGUGGUUUGAACUGUUCCCUUCAGUGGGAUAACGAACGCAACCCCGUCGUCUGUUGUC
RNAcentral lists this ribosomal RNA (348 nucleotides) under uncultured bacterium. Its description in RNAcentral is "bacterial SSU rRNA". It matches the Rfam family "Bacterial small subunit ribosomal RNA", at positions 774 to 1119 of the family's 1533-position model. The record is from RNAcentral.